RNAcentral lists this ribosomal RNA (367 nucleotides) under uncultured archaeon. Its description in RNAcentral is "bacterial SSU rRNA". It matches the Rfam family "Archaeal small subunit ribosomal RNA", at positions 426 to 793 of the family's 1478-position model. The record is from RNAcentral.
GGUCUUGGAAUAAGGGGUGGGUAAGGACGGUGCCAGCCGCCGCGGUAAUACCGGCGCCUCAAGUGGUAGUCGCUUUUAUUGGGCCUAAAACGUCCGUAGCCGGUCUGAUACAUUCGUGGGUAAAUCAACCAGCUCAACUGGUUGAAUUCUGCGAGGACGGCCAGACUUGGGACCGGGAGAGGUGUGGGGUACGCUCAGGGUAGGGGUAAAAUCCUGUCAUCCUGAGCGGACCACCUGUUGCGAAGGCGCCACACUAGAACGGAUCCGACGGUCAGGGACGAAGCCUAGGGGCACGAACCGGAUUAAAUACCCGGGUAGUCCUAGGUGUAAACGCUGUGGACUUGAUGUUGGGGGUGCUCCGAGCACU